UCUCAUAAAAAUGAGUAUUUCUGCUCUUCUCCUUGUGGGGUGGGUGUGCAGUGCCUGCAAACAGCAGGCUGCUUGAUCUCACCUGCAGCCUGUUGCUUGUAUGGACGGCCCUAAGGGAGCCUGGAGACAGCC
Erinaceus europaeus (western European hedgehog) is the source of this 132-nucleotide small nucleolar RNA. Its record names the gene SNORA70. It matches the Rfam family "Small nucleolar RNA SNORA70". Rfam says of the family: snoRNA U70 seems to be exclusive to mammals and is a member of the H/ACA class of snoRNA which contain H (ANANNA) and ACA box motifs. H/ACA box snoRNAs are involved in the conversion of uridines to pseudouridines (5-ribosyluracil) a constituent of structural RNAs (transfer, ribosomal, small nuclear, and small nucleolar). The record is from Ensembl. Lineage: Eukaryota; Metazoa; Chordata; Mammalia; Eulipotyphla; Erinaceidae.